This 254-nucleotide ribosomal RNA is filed under the name uncultured bacterium. RNAcentral describes it as "partial 16S ribosomal RNA". It matches the Rfam family "Archaeal small subunit ribosomal RNA", at positions 474 to 727 of the family's 1478-position model. The record is from RNAcentral.
CACCGGCGCCACAAGUGGCAACCGUAAUUAUUUGGCCUAAAGCGUUCGUAGCCGGUCUAGUAAAUCUUCUGUGAAAUCGUCUGGCUUAACUAGACGACGUGCAGAAGACACUGCUAGACUUGAGAUCGGGAGGAGCUAGGGGUAUUCUUGGGGGAGCGGUAAAAUGUUGUAAUCCCUUGAAGACCACCUGUGGCGAAGGCGCCUAGCUAGAACGAAUCUGACGGUGAGGGACGAAAGCUAGGGGAGCGAUCCGG